RNAcentral lists this transfer RNA (73 nucleotides) under Rhipicephalus sanguineus (brown dog tick). RNAcentral's name for it is "transfer RNA arginine (anticodon UCG)". It matches the Rfam family "tRNA". Rfam says of the family: Transfer RNA (tRNA) molecules are approximately 80 nucleotides in length. Their secondary structure includes four short double-helical elements and three loops (D, anti-codon, and T loops). Further hydrogen bonds mediate the characteristic L-shaped molecular structure. tRNAs have two regions of fundamental functional importance: the anti-codon, which is responsible for specific mRNA codon recognition, and the 3' end, to which the tRNAs corresponding amino acid is attached (by aminoacyl-tRNA synthetases). tRNAs cope with the degeneracy of the genetic code in two manners: having more than one tRNA (with a specific anti-codon) for a particular amino acid; and 'wobble' base-pairing, i.e. permitting non-standard base-pairing at the 3rd anti-codon position. The record is from Rfam by way of RNAcentral. Lineage: Eukaryota; Metazoa; Arthropoda; Arachnida; Ixodida; Ixodidae.
GUCCGCGUGGCCUAAUGGACAAGGCGUCUGACUUCGGAUCAGAAGAUUGCAGGUUCGAGUCCUGACGCGGACG